GACGAACGCUGGCGGCGUGCCUAAUACAUGCAAGUCGAGCGAAGUUUUUCUGGUGCUUGCACCGGAAAAACUUAGCGGCGAACGGGUGAGUAACACGUAAAGAACCUGCCUCAUAGACUGGGACAACUAUUGGAAACGAUAGCUAAUACCGGAUAACAGCAUUAACUGCAUGGUUGAUGUUUAAAAGUUGGUUUUGCUAACACUAUGAGAUGGCUUUGCGGUGCAUUAGCUAGUUGGUGGGGUAAAGGCCUACCAAGGCGACGAUGCAUAGCCGACCUGAGAGGGUGAUCGGCCACACUGGGACUGAGACACGGCCCAGACUCCUACGGGAGGCAGCAGUAGGGAAUCUUCCGCAAUGGGCGAAAGCCUGACGGAGCAACGCCGCGUGAGUGAAGAAGGAUUUCGGUUCGUAAAGCUCCGUUGUUAGGGAAGAAUGAUUGUGUAGUAACUAUACACAGUAGAGACGGUACCUAACCAGAAAGCCACGGCUAACUACGUG
Molecule: ribosomal RNA, 499 nt
Filed under: uncultured bacterium
Lineage: Bacteria
Description: partial 16S ribosomal RNA
Rfam family: Bacterial small subunit ribosomal RNA
Source: RNAcentral